RNAcentral lists this unclassified non-coding RNA (167 nucleotides) under uncultured Sordariales. RNAcentral's name for it is "sequence contains ITS2". Lineage: Eukaryota; Fungi; Ascomycota; Sordariomycetes; Sordariales. The record is from RNAcentral.
CAACCCUCAGAACCCCUGUAUUUUUAUGCUGGGUGUGCUGGUGUUGGGGCUUCUGCGGCUGCCGCAGGCCCUGAAAAACAGUGGCGGGCUCCGCUAUACUCCGAGCGCAGUAAUACUUCUCGCUCAGGGCGUGUAGUGGGGAUCUUGUCUUCUAAAAAACUUUUAAU